RNAcentral lists this ribosomal RNA (497 nucleotides) under uncultured bacterium. RNAcentral describes it as "partial 16S ribosomal RNA". It matches the Rfam family "Bacterial small subunit ribosomal RNA", at positions 28 to 507 of the family's 1533-position model. The record is from RNAcentral.
GAUGAACGCUGGCGGCGUGCCUAAUACAUGCAAGUCGAGCGAAAAGACGAGGAGCUUGCUCCUCUAACGUUAGCGGCGGACGGGUGAGUAACACGUGGAUAACCUACCUAUAAGACUGGGAUAACUUCGGGAAACCGGAGCUAAUACCGGAUAAUAUAUUGAACCGCAUGGUUCAAUAGUGAAAGACGGUUUUGCUGUCACUUAUAGAUGGAUCCGCGCCGCAUUAGCUAGUUGGUAAGGUAACGGCUUACCAAGGCAACGAUGCGUAGCCGACCUGAGAGGGUGAUCGGCCACACUGGAACUGAGACACGGUCCAGACUCCUACGGGAGGCAGCAGUAGGGAAUCUUCCGCAAUGGGCGAAAGCCUGACGGAGCAACGCCGCGUGAGUGAUGAAGGUCUUCGGAUCGUAAAACUCUGUUAUUAGGGAAGAACAAAUGUGUAAGUAACUAUGCACGUCUUGACGGUACCUAAUCAGAAAGCCACGGCUAACUACGUG